AACGAACGCUGGCGGCAGGCCUAACACAUGCAAGUCGAACGCUCGUAGCAAUACGAGAGUGGCAGACGGGUGAGUAACACGUGGGAACCUUCCCUAUGGUUCGGAAUAGCUCAGGGAAACUUGAGGUAAUACCGGAUAAGCCCUUCGGGGGAAAGAUUUAUCGCCAUUGGAUGGGCCCGCGUCGGAUUAGCUAGUUGGUGAGGUAACGGCUCACCAAGGCGACGAUCCGUAGCUGGUCNGAGAGGAUGAUCAGCCACACUGGGACUGAGACACGGGCCAGACUCCUACGGGAGGCAGCAGUAAGGAAUAUUGCGCAAUGGGCGAAAGCCUGACGCAGCGACGCCGCGUGGGGGAUGAAGGUCUUCGGAUUGUAAACCCCUUUCGGGAGGGAAGAUGGAAUGGGGGUAACCCAUUCGGACGGUACCUCCAGAAGCAGCCACGGCUAACUUCGUGCCAGCCGCCGCA
Molecule: ribosomal RNA, 465 nt
Filed under: uncultured bacterium
Lineage: Bacteria
Description: bacterial SSU rRNA
Rfam family: Bacterial small subunit ribosomal RNA
Source: RNAcentral